RNAcentral lists this long non-coding RNA (231 nucleotides) under Panax ginseng (ginseng). Its description in RNAcentral is "long non-coding RNA (PGIN_LNC006377)". The record is from RNAcentral. Lineage: Eukaryota; Viridiplantae; Streptophyta; Magnoliopsida; Apiales; Araliaceae.
UCUGGAGGUUAUAUUGACUAAUCGGGUAAUUAAUCGGAUAAAUGAGUAAUUAAUUUCUAUUAAUUCACAUGCUUAUAACUAUUUGUUCACAUGUGUGUACUAUUGAUUCACAUUCAUGUACUAUUAGGGGAGGUGGUGCAAGAUUUAUAAUACUUGCAUGACUAAAUUAAAAAUGGAGGUAUAGAGGAAUGUACUAUACUGUAAUUAUUUUUUUUACAUGAUUGUACUAUU